UACGUAGGUGGCAAGCGUUGUCCGGAUUUAUUGGGUUUAAAGGGUGCGUAGGCGGCCUUGUAAGUCAGUGCUGAAAUAUCCCGGCUUAACCGGGAGGGUGGCAUUGAUACUGAUGGACUUGAGUAAAGUUGAGGUAGGCGGAAUUGACGGUGUAGCGGUGAAAUGCUUAGAUAUCGUCAAGAACACCGAUAGUGUAGACAGCUUACUAAGCUUUAACUGACGCUGAGGCACGAAAGUGUGGGGAUCAAACAGG
RNAcentral lists this ribosomal RNA (253 nucleotides) under uncultured bacterium. RNAcentral describes it as "partial 16S ribosomal RNA". It matches the Rfam family "Bacterial small subunit ribosomal RNA", at positions 524 to 776 of the family's 1533-position model. The record is from RNAcentral.